Molecule: long non-coding RNA, 404 nt
Organism: Epinephelus moara (kelp grouper)
Lineage: Eukaryota; Metazoa; Chordata; Actinopteri; Perciformes; Serranidae
Exons: 3
Source: RefSeq, a predicted model, not a curated record
GCUGAACCUGCUGCUGAACACGCACACUCCGGUCGUUGGAAGUCACCCACGUCGAGGACCUGGGAGUCGGCUCGGCAGGUAGAGCCAGACUGGUGUCCUCCAGCAUGAACGAGUCCUGCGCAGGUGGGAGCGACCUGACGUGCUGACAGUGAGGGGGCGGGGCUACAGGCGACGCACCUGAGGUGUCGGGUGUCGGCUGUCGCUGCUGCCUGGUAUCGGUUCACUCAGGUUAAUGUUACUUAUCACUACUACAAUCAGUGUUGAAUGUAAUUCCCAGUAUGGAGCCAGCUGUCCUCCACUUAUACACUCUCCUGUCACAUGACUGUUGCUAUGGUUUCCGCAGAAAAAAAACACACCCUAAAUCAACAUAUUCUACAGUGUGGUGAAAAUGACAUGUAACCACA